Molecule: ribosomal RNA, 482 nt
Filed under: uncultured bacterium
Lineage: Bacteria
Description: partial 16S ribosomal RNA
Rfam family: Bacterial small subunit ribosomal RNA
Source: RNAcentral
GAUGAACGUUGGCGGCGUGCUUAAGACAUGCAAGUCGAACGAUGAAGCCCAGCUUGCUGGGUGGAUUAGUGGCGAACGGGUGAGUAACACGUGAGUAACCUGCCCUUAACUCUGGGAUAAGCCUGGGAAACUAGGUCUAAUACCGGAUAGGAGCGCCUACCGCAUGGCGGGGGUUGGAAAGAUUUAUCGGUUUUGGAUGGACUCGCGGCCUAUCAGCUUGUUGGUGAGGUAAUGGCUCACCAAGGCGACGACGGGUAGCCGGCCUGAGAGGGUGACCGGCCACACUGGGACUGAGACACGGCCCAGACUCCUACGGGAGGCAGCAGUGGGGAAUAUUGCACAAUGGGCGAAAGCCUGACGCAGCGACGCCGCGUGAGGGAUGACGGCCUUCGGGUUGUAAACCUCUUUCAGUAGGGAAGAGGCGAAAGUGACGGUACCUGCAGAAGAAGCACCGGCUAACUACGUGCCAGCCGCCGCAGUAA